GGGGAACAAAGAAGAAGAAGAUGAAUGGGGAAGAAGAAGAUGAGUUCAAUCACCAAAACCACCUAAACCAAAAACCUAAACAAACUCCAAGACUAGAGAUGAAUUGGACGGCCAAAGAACUAACCUAUUCUUUGGAAGAGAAACCCUAUUUAUACUUAGGGUUGGAGAACACAGAAAAUGGGCCGAAAUUGACGAAAUCCAUAUUGGACGUAUGUACGUCGAAAUAACGUUCGUACGUCUUCACACGAUAAACGCUUCCUGCCUGCUUGGACGUACGAACGUCCUAACAAGGUACGUACGUCCUGAACAAAAACAAUCCUGCUGCCUAACCUGACGUACGUACGCUCUAACUCGGUACGUACGUUCAACACGAUGAAAGUUUGCUGACCUACUGGACGUACGUACGUCCUAACUAGGUACGUACGUCCUAAACCAAAAGCACACUAUAGAUACACAAGACACAAGGACAAGAACCUAGGAUGACAUGCACACAACGAGGUUUUCCUAACAAUGAACUCAAGGCGAGAUAACCAUGGACACCAAUGUCACAAAAUUGAUGUCAAACAACUUAGUGCCGGUUUCAGUUUUUGGCCUUAAAAUGGCACAAUAUCCUUCCAAACUGCACUCUACACCAAGCCAAUUAUCCAAUCCCUUACAUCCCCAUAAAAUGUAAGGAAAUAGGAGAAAAAGUGUUUUAAUUAUCAAAUUACUCUAAAAUAAUUUUACCCAUAUAAACUAACAGCAGCAAAGGCAGCCAAGCCCUAUUAUCACACCAAGAAUACUCAUUGCAGAUUGAGCAGCAGCGGUUGACUUAGGAUGCAAAUUAGAUUGUGAAUAAGCUAGAAUGCUAGAUAGAGUGAUAGACUGGGGUGUUACCACCUAAACUCCUGAAGUACCAAUUACCAUAACUUAAUCUUCAGACCAGCUUCACAGUGACCUGGAAAACCGAAAACCACAGAUAAAGUAAUGGUAGCCAGUCGAUCUUGUUAAGGAUAAUUUCAUCAUUGCCAGAUUUUUGUAUCUCACCAGUGGAUGUUCGGCGUUGCAGGACUUGUAGUCAGCACUAGGCCACUAGUCACAAUCAUCGCAUUGUGAAUUUUUGGACUGUAAACGAAAACUGCAUAUUAAACCAAAAAUUAAAAAAAUAGGUCAUUAAAUUCGAUAAUCUAUGAAUCUGCAGGUUUCAAAUAGGUCAAUGUACUUGGUUUAAUCAAGAAAAAAAAUAUUAGGUUAACAAAAACAAUAAUCAAGAAAGUAUUCCAAAUUUUAUACGAAAAAUGUAUAAAGAUAAUCUUUGAGUCAAUAAUACAAUUAAAAAGGUCAUAUUAAACGGGUGACUAGAUAUAAACGCUCCAAUUUUUAACUGAGUAAGAGCAUCGAUCACUAACGGGUGGUGCAAAUUUACACAUCCACAUACUUGCCAACAGGCAGAACAUAUAGAUAGUGAAAUCGAUGAUUCUGACAUGGUCAAUUGAAAAGUUGACAAUUAAAAAUGACAUUGUUGAAUGUUUCCAAAAAUAUGGAACUUGAAAUGACAGGAGAAAUGAAUAAACGUACCAAUCUCUUAUCACCAACUUGAAAGCUCUUAGAAGCAGACUGCUUGUUGUACUCAGCACCAUUAUUGGUCCCCCAUCCAUGAAAAUCUCCCACUCCUCCCACUU
Molecule: long non-coding RNA, 1661 nt
Filed under: Aquilegia coerulea
Lineage: Eukaryota; Viridiplantae; Streptophyta; Magnoliopsida; Ranunculales; Ranunculaceae
Description: long non-coding RNA (ACOE_LNC001240)
Source: RNAcentral